Molecule: unclassified non-coding RNA, 429 nt
Filed under: fungal sp.
Lineage: Eukaryota; Fungi
Also listed under: 1 other name
Description: partial internal transcribed spacer region
Rfam family: Eukaryotic small subunit ribosomal RNA (bases 1-46)
Source: RNAcentral
AAGUCGUAACAAGGUAACCGUAGGUGAACCUGCGGUUGGAUCAUUAAAAAACAAGAUCCUGAGGUUGAGGAGCAGAGGGGGGGGGGGCCGGCACUCGGCCGUCCUCUACCUGCUCCUCUUCCUUUGGAGAUCCCUCACGGGUCUCCAUAAACCUUCAUUGUGAACCGUUUACCUGUCUUUGGCGGUCGGGGGAAGAGCAUCACGCCAACCCUGGUCAGCUGGGAGGAGGAGGAAAGCGGAGCCCACGUCAGCGGGCUCCGCGAAAUUUCCGACGAUACCCAGCCGUGGACACGCCGCCAGCCACCUCCCAAUUCUUGGGGGGUCACAAACCAGUGUGAUGUAUUUGAAAACCUAAGCGUCGGUUCCUCUUGGAACCUUGCUCAUGCAAAAUAAACAAAACAACUUUUGGCAACGGAUCUCUUGGCUCUC